AUUGAACGCUGGCGGCAUGCCUUACACAUGCAAGUCGAACGGUAACGGGUCCUUCGGGAUGCCGACGAGUGGCGAACGGGUGAGUAAUAUAUCGGAACGUGCCCAGGAGUGGGGGAUAACUGCUCGAAAGAGCAGCUAAUACCGCAUACGACCUGAGGGUGAAAGGAGGGGAUCGCAAGACCUUCCGCUAUUGGAGCGGCCGAUAUCAGAGUAGCUAGUUGGUGGGGUAAAGGCCUACCAAGGCAACGAUCUGUAGUUGGUCUGAGAGGACGACCAGCCACACUGGGACUGAGACACGGCCCAGACUCCUACGGGAGGCAGCAGUGGGGAAUUUUGGACAAUGGGCGCAAGCCUGAUCCAGCAAUGCCGCGUGCAGGAAGAAGGCCUUCGGGUUGUAAACUGCUUUUGUCAGGGAAGAAAUCUUCUGGGCUAAUACCCCGGGAGGAUGACGGUACCUGAAGAAUAAGCACCGGCUAACUACGUGCCAGCCGCCGCGGUAA
This 500-nucleotide ribosomal RNA is filed under the name uncultured bacterium. RNAcentral's name for it is "partial 16S ribosomal RNA". It matches the Rfam family "Bacterial small subunit ribosomal RNA", at positions 30 to 523 of the family's 1533-position model. The record is from RNAcentral.